RNAcentral lists this long non-coding RNA (347 nucleotides) under Bos taurus (domestic cattle). RNAcentral's name for it is "long non-coding RNA NONBTAT023804". The record is from RNAcentral. Lineage: Eukaryota; Metazoa; Chordata; Mammalia; Artiodactyla; Bovidae.
UCUUCCUAGAAUGAACUAGAAGUGACAACUCUCAUUCCUUUCCCUUGGUCAAGACUAAGAGGGAAAUCCGCUCCCACCCACAUGGGUUCAGCUGAGGACACUGUUAGCUGGAGGUGUCAGCCCAGCCUCUUGCUUAGGCAGUGCCUUGGGUCUGGUCCAGGAUCCAACAUGGGUGAUGAUUUGUGUGGCAGACGCCUGAUAGGUGAAUACCUGGUGAAAUGAUAUUCUUGGAGUUUUGUACUUGUGAAAAGGGGAACUCAGGUGUCCUUCUUUCCCACUGCCAAACAAAAGGGACUUGCAACUCAUGGUACUGAUGAUAGCCAAUUCACAGGUUUUCAAAGGCCCCA